RNAcentral lists this ribosomal RNA (474 nucleotides) under uncultured organism. RNAcentral describes it as "partial 16S ribosomal RNA". It matches the Rfam family "Bacterial small subunit ribosomal RNA", at positions 334 to 799 of the family's 1533-position model. The record is from RNAcentral.
CACUCCUACGGGAGGCAGCAGUGGGGAAUUUUGGACAAUGGGCGAAAGCCUGAUCCAGCCAUGCCGCGUGCAGGAUGAAGGCCUUCGGGUUGUAAACUGCUUUUGUACGGAACGAAACGGCCUUUUCUAAUAAAGAGGGCUAAUGACGGUACCGUAAGAAUAAGCACCGGCUAACUACGUGCCAGCAGCCGCGGUAAUACGUAGGGUGCAAGCGUUAAUCGGAAUUACUGGGCGUAAAGCGUGCGCAGGCGGUUAUGUAAGACAGUUGUGAAAUCCCCGGGCUCAACCUGGGAACUGCAUCUGUGACUGCAUAGCUAGAGUACGGUAGAGGGGGAUGGAAUUCCGCGUGUAGCAGUGAAAUGCGUAGAUAUGCGGAGGAACACCGAUGGCGAAGGCAAUCCCCUGGACCUGUACUGACGCUCAUGCACGAAAGCGUGGGGAGCAAACAGGAUUAGAUACCCCUGUAGUCCCAUG